Molecule: long non-coding RNA, 238 nt
Filed under: Elaeis guineensis (African oil palm)
Lineage: Eukaryota; Viridiplantae; Streptophyta; Magnoliopsida; Arecales; Arecaceae
Description: long non-coding RNA (EGUI_LNC027707)
Source: RNAcentral
GUGUAGUUCACAUGUGAUUCAAUCCCUCUAUCAUAAGUCUCGACUAGAUGGCAGGUCAUGGAUAAAUUAUCAAAUCUUAUCAUCAAUCAUAUGAUAGAUUCGAUUAGCUUAAGUCCAAUUGUGAUCCUCAUAAAAAUUUUUUUCUUUCCAUCACACUACUGUGACCACAGACUCUCAGACUUAGUCUUUCAAAUCUCAUAAAACUACUCCUCUCUAUCAAGAUCGAUAGAUUCCAUCU